CUGGAGGUUUUGACUUUACGGAGACUUCAUGUUCAUCUAUUUUGUCAACUGCACCUGAGGAUCAACCAACACUUAGCGACUGCCUUGAAUGGUCCCAUGUUGUCAGACAUUAGGUAUGUGCACACUCUCUAAUGUAGACAUGAUCUAUUUAUGACUUAUCAUUAUGCAGACGUAUUGUCGCAAAAAGCAUGGGAUUAGCAUACAUAACUUUGAGAGGAGUAUCCAGUGACUUUGGUGUUGUAACAUCCAAAUACACUCCUGUUAUACAACUGUUCUGAAAUAAGGGCAGUUUUGUGCACCACCAGCGAAUAAAAUGGAGAGGUGAAGAUGCUCUAUAACCAGAUGAUUAUAACAAAUUAGAAUAUUGUCUAAGCUGUUUGGAUAUCUUUUUACCUUGUUUUUGCAUUGAGCACUAAUGAAUAUAGUGUGUGAUAUAUGCUUAUACAAGAUCAUGCUAACUAAUGUAAUGUUCAUUUAAACAUUAGUCUUCUUAACCCUGAAAAUUAUAAAAUAUCUCAUUAGCCAUACCUGCCAUUCAUAUAAUCAUAUCCUUUUUAGUUACAUGUGUUAACUUUCCACUUUGAGAUAGAGAGCAUUGUAAGGAAAAUGGACCCCGGGUCUUUUGGCUAAAGAAGUUUUGGUGGUUGAUGACUGACACAAUCUGUGGACUAAUAUGUUUGCUAGUGUUUAUAAUUAUAGUUCACAGGAUGCGGUGAGGAUUGGACCAAGGCAAUGAGGAUGCAACACCUCAAAUGAAGACAUAAAAAGAUGCAUAGAAGUCCAAGACUCAAGAACAAAAGAAGCCCAUAGAAAUCAGCAAAGAAACCUGAGAAGAGGGCUGUCAGCCAGCGCCUGGUGGCGCACCGGACAGUGCACAGUACCUGUCCGGUGUGCACCGGACUGUCCGGUGGGACAACCGGACGGUCUGCGCAGAGAGGCCGCAGGCAGGCGCUCUCGGGCUGUAGCACCGGACUGUCCGGUGUGCACCGGACUGUCCGGUGUGCCAACGGGCAGACGGCAACGGUCGAAUCCAACGGUCGGAUCCAACGGUCGACUGCUACAGACGCCAACGGUCGGCUGACAUAGGCGCACCGGACAUCUACUGUUCAGUGUCCGGUGGUGCACCGGACUGUCCGGUGCACCCGACGACAGAAAGCUGCUGCUUUCUGUCCAACGGCUAGUUGAGGGUGUGGAGGCUAUAAAUAACACCCCAACCGGCCAUUCUCAAGUGUGAGAGCCCAAGCAACAUUCCAAUACACAUAGUGCAUAUUUCCAAGUGCUCAAACACCCAAGUGCUUAAUAGAAUCACUCGGUGAUUAGCGUAGGUGCUUUGCGAAGUGCUUAGGUUAGUUAGACCGCUUUAGCGCUUGCUCUAGGUGAAUCCUAGUUAGUUGAGUGAGUUUAGAUAAACCUCACAACCCCUCGGCUCUUGCGCGAGCCGUUGUAAUUGUACCGAGUGGGGCGAGAGUCUUGCGAGACCGUGACAACCGUGUUUGUGUCACGGCCGCCACCGUGUACCGGAGGGAACGAGGCCCGCGGCGUUUCGGCCGGAAGCUCGAUAGUGGAGACGGCGGGGAGCGUCCGAGAGGAGCCGGAAGCGGAGCACCACUUGCGCGUGGAGAAGGCCCGCGGCUCUCUACGGAGUUACUCGACCGAGGUGCUUGGCCCUCGCGUGGGCUUCCCUUUGCGUAGGGGCACCAACGAGGAUUAGUCGGGACCUUGCGCGGUUCCGGAUACCUCGGUAAAAAUACCGGCGUCAUCCACGAGAGUUUGCUUCUCUACUUAGCUCUUUACAUUCCGCAUUUAUAUUAAGCAUUUAAGUUUCAAUCUUGUUGUCAUACUUAUUUAGUGUAGAUUGAAACUUAGUCUUUGCGGUAGAGAUAGCAACACUUAGACCAAACCUAGUUUGCACAUUCUAGUUUUGAUUCUUGCAUAGGUUUUGCUCUAGGGAUUUAAUUGUGGCCAAGUUUAGUAAAAGUUUUAGAAGUCCUAAUUCACCCCCCCCUCUUAGGCGUCACCCGUUUUCUACAAUUGGUAUCAAAGCCCGGUUUGGCUCAUUUGAAACGUUUUAGCUUCACCGCUAAAAGGGCCGACGCUUUUUAGAGGAAGGGAUGGAUACCCAUAGGCCACCACACUUCGACGGCACUAACUUCCCAUAUUAUAGUGCUAGAAUGGCUUGUUACCUAGAGGCCGUUGAUCUAGGUGUUUGGAGAGUCACUUGUGACGGGAUGAAACCCCUCAAGAAUCCCGAGAAACCCACCACGAGUGAGGAAAAAGAAAUUCAUUUAAAUGCUAGAGCCAAAAAUUGCUUGUAUGAAUCUCUUAGCAUGGAUAUUUUCAAUCAAGUAUUUACCCUGAAAACUGCUAAUGAGAUUUGGCUAAAAUUGCAUGAGCUCCAUGACGGCACAUCCAAUGUCCGUGAGCAAAAACAUUGCCUAGUCUUAAAUGAGUAUAAUUCUUUUGCUAUGAAAAAUGAUGAGCUUGUUAGAGACAUGUAUUCUCGCUUGAAUCUAAUUAUCAAUGAGCUCAAUUCUAUUGGCAUUAAUAAGCUAGGUGAUGCGGACAUUGUGAGGAAGAUUAUCUCCCUGCUACCACAACAAAGAUAUGGGAGCAUCAUCACCAUCCUUCACAACAUGGAGGACUUGAGCAACAUGACCCCGACCAUUGUGAUUGGGAAAAUCGCGGCCUUUGAGAUGUCGCGAAAAAUGAGUCGGGGAGAGGAGCCAACUUCCUCAAGACCAUAUGCUUUUGCAUGUGAUGAAAGGAAGGGCAAAAAGAAGGCUCCCACUCCAAGUUCCUCAAGUGAAGAAGAGGAAGAAGAAGAAAGUGAUGAUGAUGAAGAUAAUCAACCAUGCACAUCAUCCUCCGAGGACGAAGAAACGAUCCGACGCGUCGGAAAGGUAAUGGGGAUGAUCCGCAAGAUUAAUCUAAUGGGUGUGCCCCUGCAGGUCGAGGAUCUUCUCUUUAACAUUGACAGGAAAAAGCAAAGGAAGAGAGGAUGCUUCGCAUGUGGGGAGAAGGGCCACUUCAGGGACAACUGUCCAAAUAUGGCCAAACCCAACAAGGAGAGGAGCAAAGGCAAGGCGCUAACAAGUGUUAGAACGUGGGAUGAUUCUUCAAGUGAAGAUGAACCUCCAAGGACGCGCAGCCACCGGUCCUCGUCACGAUCAUCACGGUCAUCACACAAAUGCCUUAUGGCAAGAGGUAACAAAAGCACUCCAUCCUCUAGUGAUGAAAGUAGUAGUGAUGAUGAAGGUGAGGGAAAAGCCUCUCUAGAUGAGCUUGCGGAAGCCGUAGAAUUUUUCCAGGAUGUUUGCACUAAGCAAAAAGCUCAACUUAAAACUUUGAAAAAUAAGUUGGUUAGCUCUCAAAAUGAUUACAAAGGUUUGCUAGAAAAAUUUGAAACUUUUGCAAACUUAAAUAGUGAGCUAUCAACUAAACUUGAGCUAUUAGAAUCUAGUGCUCCAUCCACUGCUACCGAUGAUAGCCUUAUUAAAAAGAAUGAAAAACUUAAGGCUAAGUUAGCUAGCUCCCAAGAAGCUAUUGAAAAUUUGCUAGAGAAAAUGGAAAUUCUCAGCAUACACAAUAAUGAGCUAACUACUAAGCUAGAAAACAUUGGUAGCACCCCAGCAGCAUCUUUAGUUGAAAUUCCUGAAAUUAUUAAGAAAGAUGCUUCUACUUCCUGCUUUGACUUAAUUGAUGAUUCUAACCCCUGCAACCAAGUUGUUGUUGAGAAUAUUGUUGUAGAGACAUGCUCUGAUGAGGUUGCAAAGGAAAAUGAACAAUUAAAGCAAGAAGUGACUCGUCUUGGCAAGGCUUUGUAUGACAAGAAAGGCAAAGCCAAACAAAUCCGACCUCCACAGGAUAACACCACUGCGGGAGUGAACAAGCCUGUAGAGGGAGAAACUGUGAUUUGUAGGCUAUGCCACAAGGAAGGCCACAAGUCUUUCCAAUGCAAGGCGAUGACCGGAGAUAAACAAAGGCAAAAGCUCAAGCAAAAGCCAACAAGCAAAAUCUCCAGCACCUACAUCAAAAAGGUGAACAAAAAGGACGCUACACCAUAUUUGAUCAAGAAGAAAAAGAAUGGAAAGGUGAUAGCAAUCAAGGCCAACAAGCAAGCCAACAAAGGAAAGGGGGCCAAACGCAUCUGGGUGCCAAAAGAGAUAAUUUCAACCAUGAAAAGCACCAAGAAGGUUUGGAUCCCGAAAGGGAAGUGAGUGGACCAAAAGUCUGCGGGAAAUUUGGAGACUUGGCAAAGUUGGGAUGUAUAUCAUGGGGUACAUCAUAUUGGAUCAAGUUUAUUGCCAAGUGGGUUAGUGAAAACUUUGGACCCAAAUUUCCCACCCAUGACCAAGGUAACUAGUUUUAUUGUAUUUCUCGUUUUUAGAUAUGUGUAUCUAUUUAUCUUUUAUCUAGUUUACCUUUCUUGCCUAGUAUUACAUUUGUUAUGUACUUUUGUUUAAAAUCAUGCAUACUAGGUAAAUCAUAUGGUAGGAUUGCUUGCGUUUAAUUCAUAUACUUAAGCAAACCUACAUGGCUUAAAAUGUGUAUUUAAGCACGGCACAUAGCUUUUAUAUCACUCCAUAGUAAAUGAUGCAUCAAUUGAAAAUCUUUGAUUUCCACAAGUGUAUCAUUUAACUUAUAUGUGCCAAAGUUUGGAUUAUAGAUAAUUUGCCCCUCUUGAUAUCAAAUCAAAGUGCAUGUCUCCUACAAGUAUUCAAAACUUGUAUGCACACCUUUAGGGGGAGGUUACUCUAUAAUCUAACACUUUGAGACUAACACCUUUUCAAGUCUAUUUCAUGUGAUAGUCUCAUUGUAAGGAAAAUGAAGUCCCUGGAGAAAGACAACAAUCUUCCACUGCAAAAUCUCUAAGAACUCUCAUGUCUCUCAAACUCGCCAUUGAUCAUCAAUUGGUAUCUUUUGAGACUACAUUCAGUAUCAUUUACAUGUCUUCUCCAAUAUUUGAUUAGACUAUAUUUCAUAUCAUAUGCUUCCAUGUUGCAAAAAUGCAUAAGUAGUUAAUUCAUAUUCUGUUACCUAUGCAUAAGGGAAGCUAGUCUUUUCAAAUCAUGUCUUGCACCUCUAAUUUUCACAUGCUUUUUCCUAAGUAGAGGAUCUCUGUCAGGGGGAGUAUUUCUUCAUCUCUAAAGGGGGAGAAAAACUCUUUCUAAAGGAGUCAACUCAUUUAGGGGGAGUAAUCUUUUGAGGACUCCUUCAAGUGGUAUCAUUCACUUAGUUUAAUUUUAAUAUCCUUCUAGUGAUAUCAUUUGAUACAAUUCUUGAUGAGGGCAAGCUUUUAUUUACUUCCUACAUGCUUUUAAUGUCUUCCUUUUCGGUGGUUGAUGCCAAAGGGGGAGAAGUUUAGGGACCAAAGCAAUGAAAACUUUAUCAAACACCAAAAACCACCACUUUAAAAUUUUAUCUGCAAAUGACUUUUCAAGUGGUUUUGGUUAUUUGGUCCAAAAAUAGGAAGUAAGUGAUUUAUGGAGUUAGGGGGAGGCUUAAGUCCAUAAUAUCACAUUAAGGGGACAAUCAUGCAUCUUAGCAAGUGAAAUGCAUAUUUACAUUCAAAUACUUGUAUUAUUUGCUUGCUUUGGUUGUGUUGUCAUCAAUCACCAAAAAGGGGGAGAUUGUAAGGAAAAUGGACCCCGGGUCUUUUGGCUAAAGAAGUUUUGGUGGUUGAUGACUGACACAAUCUGUGGACUAAUAUGUUUGCUAGUGUUUAUAAUUAUAGUUCACAGGAUGCGGUGAGGAUUGGACCAAGGCAAUGAGGAUGCAACACCUCAAAUGAAGACAUAAAAAGAUGCAUAGAAGUCCAAGACUCAAGAACAAAAGAAGCCCAUAGAAAUCAGCAAAGAAACCUGAGAAGAGGGCUGUCAGCCAGCGCCUGGUGGCGCACCGGACAGUGCACAGUACCUGUCCGGUGUGCACCGGACUGUCCGGUGCGACAACCGGACGGUCUGCGCAGAGAGGCCGCAGGCAGGCGCUCUCGGGCUGUAGCACCGGACUGUCCGGUGUGCACCGGACUGUCCGGUGUGCCAACGGGCAGACGGCAACGGUCGAAUCCAACGGUCGGAUCCAACGGUCGACUGCUACAGACGCCAACGGUCGGCUGACAUAGGCGCACCGGACAUCUACUGUUCAGUGUCCGGUGGUGCACCGGACUGUCCGGUGCACCCGACGACAGAAAGCUGCUGCUUUCUGUCCAACGGCUAGUUGAGGGUGUGGAGGCUAUAAAUAACACCCCAACCGGCCAUUCUCAAGUGUGAGAGCCCAAGCAACAUUCCAAUACACAUAGUGCAUAUUUCCAAGUGCUCAAACACCCAAGUGCUUAAUAGAAUCACUCGGUGAUUAGCGUAGGUGCUUUGCGAAGUGCUUAGGUUAGUUAGACCGCUUUAGCGCUUGCUCUAGGUGAAUCCUAGUUAGUUGAGUGAGUUUAGAUAAACCUCACAACCCCUCGGCUCUUGCGCGAGCCGUUGUAAUUGUACCGAGUGGGGCGAGAGUCUUGCGAGACCGUGACAACCGUGUUUGUGUCACGGCCGCCACCGUGUACCGGAGGGAACGAGGCCCGCGGCGUUUCGGCCGGAAGCUCGAUAGUGGAGACGGCGGGGAGCGUCCGAGAGGAGCCGGAAGCGGAGCACCACUUGCGCGUGGAGAAGGCCCGCGGCUCUCUACGGAGUUACUCGACCGAGGUGCUUGGCCCUCGCGUGGGCUUCCCUUUGCGUAGGGGCACCAACGAGGAUUAGUCGGGACCUUGCGCGGUUCCGGAUACCUCGGUAAAAAUACCGGCGUCAUCCACGAGAGUUUGCUUCUCUACUUAGCUCUUUACAUUCCGCAUUUAUAUUAAGCAUUUAAGUUUCAAUCUUGUUGUCAUACUUAUUUAGUGUAGAUUGAAACUUAGUCUUUGCGGUAGAGAUAGCAACACUUAGACCAAACCUAGUUUGCACAUUCUAGUUUUGAUUCUUGCAUAGGUUUUGCUCUAGGGAUUUAAUUAUGGCCAAGUUUAGUAAAAGUUUUAGAAGUCCUAAUUCACCCCCCCCUCUUAGGCGUCACCCGUUUUCUACAAGCAUGACUGUCUACUAUAUUUUGUUGCCUCAAUCAAAUAGAUAAGAAGCUUUGUGCAUAUGGUAGACCAAUAGCGCUCAUUACUUGUUUCUUUCUUAGAUAAUUCUUAUGAACAUUGGAUUAUCUCAACUAGCUUCUGUGCACUAUUUGUCCCGCAUUUUCCCCUUGUCUUGCUUUUCUGAACUUACGUGUCUGCUCUGUCUUUUUAUUAUCACAAAACCGAAAGAGCUUGAAAACUAUAUAUUGUAUAUUGUAAGAGAGAAUAAAUAUUGGGACAAUUUUUUUGAUGUUCUAACUUUUAAUAACAUUGCAUAUGGGAAAACAAAUUUUCUACUGCAACAGCAUAUAAAGCGUGCAAUACUGUACUGGGUCUAGGCAAGAUAUGGCGGGGAUGUUCAGUUGUCCACAGAUGCCAUACUUGUUACCGUAGCAUUACCUUUUUAUAGUUUCAGUUUCAGGUUGCUCAUAUAGUUUGCUUAUGCUUGAGUUAUUCACAUUGUUCCUUACUUGGAUUCAUUCGCUGGAUUCAUCAUUUCUACAUAUGUUUAUUUAAGUUUUCUUUGUUACACUCAACAUGAACAAUGCCUCAUGUUCUUGUAGCCAUUGUGAUUCAUGUUAUCCUCACACUGCACUGCUAACCAUUUAAGUAUUUUUUGUGCAUCGAUAGUUUUACCUUUAUACCAGCAUAGAAGAGAGAUAAUUUGGGCAGUGUAACACCACCGAAUGUUUGUUUUGUAUUAAGAUUAACACCUCAGGCAUGCCAUCAUCCUACUUUGACCUCAUACCAAACACAUCCAUAAUCUUUUAGUAUUGACAACAUAAUAAGGCCACAUGACUGAGAAAGAUUGAAGUUAAGCUCUGCAACCAUUGUUUAUCCAUUUACUGCAUCAAAAUAAUGGAAAUAUUUAUUAAAAGGGAAGUAUGUCCAAACAAUUUCACAAGAGACUAAAUUAUGGGCAUAUUUGGGAUUUAGGAGGUGUUAUGCUGACCUUGGGUAAGAAUCAUUAGUGGUUCACUUGUUCUUGAGCUUUAUCAUUUGUACUCCGUUCUGUUUAUAAUAUAUGGGACCCACAUGAAAAAUUCAGAUUAUCGAUCAAACACUACUUAUCUCAAUUGUGAAAUUUAUUAGGAGAUCUAUAAUAACGGUGGGAGAUCUAUAAUAUUAUAGCGUUGUCCAUGGAAGGAGAAUCAGAAGCCCCGGAUCGCCGCCCCAGCCUCCAUGGAAGGGGAGUCCUCUUGAUCCGUGUCUGCGCUGUCCAGGAAAGGGGAGCGUCUGACGCCCUGGAUUUGCGCACCCCAGCCUCCAUGGAAGGGGAGUAUCUGACGCCCCGGAUCUGUGCGCCCCAGCUUCCAUGGAAGGGGAGUCAGACGCCCCGGAUCUGCGGCGAGAGAGGACCGUGCGAAGGGGAGUCAGACGCCCCGGGCUUGUAACAUUGAGCGGCGCAUUCUACAUAGAAAUCAGGUCUGGCUUGCUCUUGCAUGUCAUUCAUUUCUUAGCGUUGGCUUGUAACUUGUGUUUGUUUUGCUUAGUCCAUUUCUUUUGGUUGUCUGUAGGGAAGAGACGACGACAACAUAGACAUUAUCACAAAGCGGUUUCAGGUUUUUCAGGAGUCGACUCUACCUGUUGUUUAGUACUAUGACAAAAUGGGGAGGCUCUGAAGAAUAAUAAUUUGCGGUUGCUCUUAUUUUUUUCGUAUGAAACGUAGACUGUGCUAAUAAAUUUUGGCUGCACUUCUGUUUAGGAAGUAGAAACAUUAAAUGUUUUAGGAAUAAUAAAUAUUUGCUUAAAUUCAUUUUUAUAACCUUCGUGCUACUGAGUUUCUUUCCCUAUAUCCUCCCCUAACUUGUGUUACUAUGUUCUUUAGGAUUCAAUGCUGCAGUUGUUGGGUGCUUUUUUUGCUAUCGAAACAGUAUUACGGCCACUUACUACUACUAUGAUUAUAUUAGCAUCAGUUAUGAAAUGUUUUGCUGCUGCUAUGAUUAUAUUAGCAUCAGUUAUGAAAUGUUUUGCUGCUGCUAUGAUUAUAUUAGCAUCAUUUAUAUCAUCAACUAUUUCCAAUGUUUUGCUAGGGGAAAAUGCAACAUUUAUUAUGUCUACAUAUGAACUAAAAUAUGCUGCUGGUAUUUUACCUUAUUCUGAUUAUUUUUUGUGUCAAUAAGGUAGAUGUGUCUUAGCUACCUUCAAGAUAUAGGGAAGUAUGUGUUCUCACCUUAUUUUUUGCUCUAAUUGUUAAACAUAUAUGAAGUAUGUUCUCAUGAUAAAACAUAAAGCUUGACACUGAAUAUUUCUUUUUUUCUUGUAAUUCUCUUCCUUAAGCUUAGCCCUCUUUCAAUUCCUUGAAAUGGUACUUGCCUACAUUCCUCUCACAUGAAUUUACGAUCCUAAGAACUAAUCAACUACUAGAGUUAUUAAUGCAGAAAUGAUCAACUAAUGUUAGCUUAAUGAUUUCUACAGUUGCUGCAUUUCAGGAUUUGAUGAAUAAUUGGUAAAAUGAGCAACCAAGCUGGAAAGGUUUAACUGAUCUCUGCUACUCUUUUAUCAGGUGAUUUCUCUUAGCCAAUGAAUACAUAAGAGAUACACACCGAUGUGUGCCCUGUAAGUAGUUUUCUUGACCAAGUUUCUUCCGUUGCUUAUCUUUUCUCUUACGGUUGCACUCGUAUUUUUAUUGUAUCUUCAGGCCCUCGGUAUAUAACAACUAGAGCGAAUAAUUAGUAUGUACGGGGAUGAUGUGAAUGGUACAAACACUAUUUUAGCAGAGGUAAGUUGGUCAGUUCCCCUAAUAUAGUUUACGAUCUUGUACCACAUUUGGUUUGUGUUCUUUUCCAAAAUGGCAUCAACUGACAACUUACCUUUUCAUAGUUUACAUCAAUCUUGAAAUAUGCGGUACUUGAUGAAUCAAAUAUGACCAUGUGUUUCUCUAUACCGCUAGAUGCUGAUUCCAGGUUUGUUAUCUGUGAAAAAUGUUAUCCACAUUAUUUUAAAAAACUAUUACUACUGAUAUUUAAUGGUUUCCCUUAUUCAUUCCUAAAUGCAGUAUACCCUUUUCACUUGAGGAUAUUACAAAGACAUUGCCUGACCUCUUCCUCGUAUCAUGUGUUUACAGACGCCUGACUCUCCUGUUGUUGAGCUAGACCAGACCCGUCUCUUGUAGGUCUUGUUGGUGCUGAGGAUCCUCUAAAACAACAUGUCAUCGUCUCGGUUCGAGCCUGUGGUAAGAUAAGGAGCGCUGGUAGCAUGAUAGCUCUCCAUUCUCUGAAGCUAAAGCUUCAUUUUAGCUCACUGUGUAUUUGCUCUGCUUUCAAGAGAAGGUUGUUGUCAACGUAUGAUCUGACAAGAGCUUUAUCUGGCCAAUUGGUUGAGCGUGAUACUUUGAGACAACCUGGCAAGUGAGCCGCAGCUAACACACAUGGAUGGACAUUUUAGUCAAGUGUAUCAUAAAAUUUAUUAUAUAUUGUGUAGAACUUAAUUGUUUAUGGUGAUGUUUUACACUACUGCCACACUAAUAGUACUGUCCUUGAUUCUUUAAAUUCUUUGACCAAAGCAUGUACAAGCCGCUGCUACUAUCUUAUUUCUCAAAGAUAUAAUAUAAGUAUGAAUACCCUUGGAAGUUAAGUUUUGUAAAUGGUUGUCUUUGUAGGGUCAUGUUUUUACUAUAGUCGUGCUAUACUUGCCUCUGAAGGUGGAGAAAAAUUGCAAUCAUGUACUGUGAAAUAUCAACUAUGUAUAUUAUUUAUCAUAUUUGUUUGAGAUUAUUAAUGUCAUGCUUAGUGUUCGUGCCAAUAGAUAAGUUUGUAGUUGAUGAUAAUAUGUAUUGUUUAUUUUUAUGUAAUCGUUAUAUACUAACUUUGUAUCGAAUAAUUUAUAUGCCGUCGCAACGCACGGGCAUAUACCUAGUAGCCAAUUAUGUGCAUCAAUGACACAAGCAGCUACUAACUGGCCUCUAAACCUCCCAUAAAGAGUUGUUGCAUCCACUGCUAAAUAAGGCCUGCAACCAGCUAAGAACCUACUCCAACAUGCUUUGAAUGAAACGAACACCCUUAUAAAACAUUCUUUGUUCAAAAUCUUGCCUCUCACUUUAUAAUCCACCGUAUGAUGGUCAAUCUCAACAACACUACCUGGGCACGCCUUCUCCACUUCAGCUUUGAAAGUGAAUAAUAAGUUAAAGCUUUCCUUACAUGGGCCAUAAAUCUUGUCAAGAGCCAUUUCCUUGCCAUAAUACACUAUCAUGUAAGGCACCAAAAUGUUGUACUUCUCUUUGAUCUUCUUUACCGGUUCAGUUGUACCAAUGCAUGAGUUAUAUGUCGCCCAUUCUAAUACUGCAUUUGCACACCAUCUACUUUUAGCUACUUAUGUGACCCUUUUCUUUCACUUGGACAAGUGCGAGGAGAUGGAUUCACUUUGACCUGAAUAAUUGUACUAUUCCGCAUACUGGAAGCAUAUAUCCUCCACUGACAGCUCUCAAAUGCGCAAUGAACAGUCAUUCUAGUUGGCUCACUCUUGUCAAUUACAUAAUCAUACUCGCCUUUGAUGCAAUAGGUAUCAAGUGCAUUCCUAAAUUCGGUCAUCGAUGCAAAUGUGUUGCCUUCUUUUAAGGAUGGAUUAUCUCUGUCAUAAUCAUUUCUUGGUACAUCACCACCCUCUCCUUGCUCAUCCACCCCCAUAGCUAUGUUUUCUUCCUCCUCCUCUUUAUCAGUCUCUUUAAAUUGUGCCCCUGUGAAAAUGUCUCCAUUAUAGUCCUCAAAUUCUAGCAUAUCCCACUUGUCAACAAACCCAGGAUACUGUCUCUCAUCAUCAUCGGGGGCAGCAACUACUUCUAUUGGUUCAACCUCAUCAUUGGGAAUAAUACGAUUCAUCCCAUUUCAUAGGAAAUAACGACGUUAAGAACCCAUAUAGGCAAAGGGUGGCAACAUUUAUAGAUAGUAGAGGGUUGUGCUCCUUGCCUGGAGGAGACUGCUGCUGCUGUCAAGAAGAUCGCGUCGGUGUCUGGAUCUCACACACUACUGUUAAGAAGAUCACGUCGACGACUGGAUCUCACAUAGGAGCAGCAGGCCGAAAGCUUGCAGUGCCUCUGGAUCUGGAGUGCGAGUAGGGGCGCAGACCCGCUGAAGGCAUCGAGAGCACGAGGCACGGACCAACCGGAGGCACGGAGCAACGAGUCCCUCCCAGUGGCGGCUUCCUCCCUCCCGGCGGGGCGCCCCCACGAAGUAGCCUAUGGCUAGAGGCACGGAGCGUGGGACGCGUACCAACUGGAGGCACGGAGCAGUAGGUCCCGGCGACGUCUUCCUCCCUCCUGGCGGCUCUAGGCAUCAAACCAAAGACAUCAUCAGCACCUGGGCGUCUGGCAUACAAAGGCAGCUGUGUUGUUGUCAGAUUAAAAACCUGCGCCACGGUCUUCCCUCUCGCCUUGGCUAUCUCCGCGAGGACCUCGAACUCGAGCACAACGUUUCUUUCUGCCGCCCAGCUCUGGCCUCCCAACGGCGAGAUCUGCUGGCAAACAGGGUUCACCUCCACCGGGAUUCGCCCUCCCGGCGGGGCGCCCCCACAAAGCAGCCUGAGCGCUUGUUCCCUCCCGCGGCGGGCGAGGCGGGCGUGGUGAGUGGGCGGCCACGAAGCGACGGGCGGUUGCGGUUGAGAUGGAGUUCGGGAUUGGGAGGAAGAAGAGCCUGCUGUCGAGUGGGGAUUUUUUUGCAGUGGGCCCACUCUGUAAGUCACGUUAAAGUGGACGGAGACGGCGUCCAGGCGUAUUUAUGAGCAAAGGGAACGAGGACCGAAUAAAAUUGCGUAUUUAUG
This 12856-nucleotide long non-coding RNA is filed under the name Zea mays. RNAcentral describes it as "long non-coding RNA (ZMAY_LNC001931)". Lineage: Eukaryota; Viridiplantae; Streptophyta; Magnoliopsida; Poales; Poaceae. The record is from RNAcentral.